CCUACGGGAGGCUGCAGUGAGGAAUAUUGGUCAAUGGACGAGAGUCUGAACCAGCCAAGUAGCGUGAAGGAUGACUGCCCUAUGGGUUGUAAACUUCUUUUAUAAAGGAAUAAAACGAGGCACGUGUGCCUUUUUGCAUGUACUUUAUGAAUAAGGAUCGGCUAACUCCGUGCCAGCAGCCGCGGUAAUACGGAGGAUCCGAGCGUUAUCCGGAUUUAUUGGGUUUAAAGGGAGCGUAGAUGGGUUGUUAAGUCAGUUGUGAAAGUUUGCGGCUCAACCGUAAAAGUGCAAUUGAUACUGGCAGUCGUGAGUACAGUUGAGGUAGGCGGAAUGCGUGGUGUAGCGGUGAAAUGCUUAGAUAUCACGAAGAACCCCGAUUGCGAAGGCAGCUUACUAAACUGUGACUGACAUUGAUGCUCGAAAGUGUGGGUAUCAAACAGGAUUAGAUACCCUUGUAGUC
Molecule: ribosomal RNA, 460 nt
Filed under: uncultured bacterium
Lineage: Bacteria
Description: partial 16S ribosomal RNA
Rfam family: Bacterial small subunit ribosomal RNA
Source: RNAcentral